Molecule: RNA transcript, 4667 nt
Organism: Capsicum annuum
Lineage: Eukaryota; Viridiplantae; Streptophyta; Magnoliopsida; Solanales; Solanaceae
Exons: 5
Source: RefSeq, a predicted model, not a curated record
ACAACAUUGGCAUAAUUCCAAGGUCUAGGUCUGAUGCAAGAAAUAAUUCCAAGAUUUCUUCCCAGUGAUGGAUAAUGCUCAAAAGAAACUUCCCAUAAGUGACAUUGUCCACAUGCCUAAUCUCCAAUUUACUUUCAGAUGCUCAUGUUGCAGGGUGGAUAAAAGUAAAAUUCUAAACCAUCUCUUUGUUUCUUAUGAUUUGGCUACCAGAGUUGAGAAUUUUUUUCCCCAUUCCUUUGGACUUAAAUGCUGGGGCUACUGCUAUUCAGGCAUUUUGUGAUGGAACACCCCUGCAAAAGACGAUGCACACAAGCUUUUCUUGCACAUCAUUUCUAUAAUUGCCUGUUGGGAAAUCUGGAAAGCCAGAUGUGGUCAUUGGCAAAGCGGGAGCUGGUGGUAUUGUGCGGAAAAGAAAUGGACAGAUGAUUAUGGUCUUUGUUGCCCCUAUCCAGUUCUGUACUAACAAUUACUUAGAAACUCGGGCUGCUCUGUUCAGGAAAGGAGCAUCCAAGUGCAACUCUGUUACGGAGAAGGGAAUCAAGUAGUAGACAUCUUAGCUACCUCUCUGGAUAGCAAGGAAUUUUACUACAAUGAAGUUGAACUUCCAUGUGACGCGAGAGGUAAGUUUGAAAAAUGAAGUCAGUCUUGCCAAAUAGACAAGAGCAUCAAAAUCGCUGAUCAAGGAAGUUGUUUCUCUUAUAAACACAUGUAGUUGUUGUUUAAUGUAUCCAUUACAGUGAAAAAAGUUAUUUCUCUUGAAAUUUUUCUCCAAUUAUGAUGGCCAAGAAAGAAGAAAUUGUUAUAACUGUUGUGAAGCUAGCUUUUCAUGUAAUCUACUCACAGUGAUUUACUACAUUAAAACAAAACGAAUCACAAUAAUAACUUACUACAUAAAAACACAUAGCGCUAUUAAGUUAUCCAAAUACGAAUGCAUCAAUUACAUAGAAUGGUCUCACAGUCACCUUUUACAAUGAUACACAUGCCAGAAUUAAGUUUUACCUUAAGUUUCCUUUCGACAUUAAUAAUAUAUCAUCAUCUCUUAAAAGAAGCAAUAUGCACAAAUUAAUAUCCCUUUGUUUCAGUUUGUUUGUCUUUUCUUUCGAAAUUGAUUAAAAAAUGAAUAUUUUCUUUAUCCUUUUUGGCAACUCUUUAAAUCUAAACAUACACAUGACAUUCUUAAAACCACAAGAUUAAAUGAUAUUUUCAUACAUUAGCUCAUUAUUUGGAAAAUAUGGAAGGCCAGGUGCAAGAGUAGAUGUGAAAAGAUUGUCAUGUAUCCCAACAGAAUCAUUCAGCUAACUCAUCAAUAACUUAUUUUGAUUCCUAACAAGAAGUUCCCUAUUAUCUCCCCUCUCUUGAGCUGGGAAUGUUUUAGAAAAUUGAUGGGUCAUGCUAAAUAUCAGUCAGUUUCUACUGUAGUUAAAUGGAACUAUCCGAGGCCUGGUUAGGUGAAGCUUAAUUGUGAUGGAUGUUCCAAAGAUAAUACAGGCCCUUGUGGUGGCAGAGGGAUCAUCGGGGAUGAUAAACGACACUUAGUCAAUGUGUAAUACAAUGUAGAGACCGGGUAUAAAACUUAUAACAUGGCUGAAACGGUGGCUCUUAGCAUUGGGAUUGAAUGGUGCAGCAGGGAUCAAGAAAAUUGAAAUUGAAUAUGACUCCAAAUUAGUGGUGGACUGGAUCUAGAAUAAAGCUAACCCACCUUGAACCUGUUGGAACAUCAUAGACAACAUUUAUGACAAUCUCAAAAAGAAAGAGAUUUUGGAGAAUUAAACAUUGUUUCAGAGAAAGUAAUGGUGUUACAGACAAACUUGCUAACUGGGGACUUCAAGGCAAUGGUAUAAUUCAAUAUUCCAGAUCUCUGUCUUCCUAAAGACAUUAGAGGAUACAUAAACAUGGAAAGGUUACAACUUUCCUUGUUUAGGAUAAAUAGUCGCAAAGGAUCAUUCUCUUUUGACAGGAACAUGUAAAAGAAUGUAUGAUUUAUAAGAAUAGGCAAGGAAUAUGUUAAUCCUAUUGUUUGUGACCAAAUUUGGAUAUCUACAAUCUAAGAUGUAUGGGGUAUGUUCCAUUCUCAGUAGGUCAUGGGAGUUUUCUCCUCUGUUUUGUAUAGUGUUUGGGGUUAUAAUACAGGUCCAGCUCUUUGAGAAGGAUAGUUGAAGGAAAAAAGAGAUUCAAAAUUAUUUUUAACUUUCAUAAACUAUGAGUCAAGUCAAAAUAAGAUAAACGCAUUAAAACAGGUGGAGUGAUUAGAAUCGAGUAUCUCAUAAUGCAACGUUAUCAAAAAUGGAAAGAGGGAGUUGCUCGGAUGGUAAGCACCCUUCACUUCCAACCCGAGGUUGUGAGAACAAGUCACGAAGGGAGCAAAAAGGGUGGGAACUCCUAGUUUAAGGGGGAAAACGGCUAUCAAAAACAUUAUUUUGCAAUAAGCUAGAUAUCAAAAUUCGUAGACUAAAAGUUAAUAUUCCAACAACAUAUUGUUAGAGAAAACAAACCUUAGAUAAACAUUCAAUAAGGACCAUCUACAAAGGAUGCAUAUCACAUAGUUAGCAGCCAAUUUAACUUUAACAAUAUGACGUGGAUUUUCAAGAUGCUUGCUACUCUCGUAUUUGUCUUAUAUCAUUUCCCUCUAUAUCUGACAUCAUUCCAGGGCCACCACACUUUCACCACCAAAAUCGUCUCUCUGGUAGAUAUUUCUACUUCGUUCUUUCUUAUUUCCUAAGCAAACCUUUUGCUGUGAAUUGAAUAUGCAAACCGUUUCAAGAUUAGUCAAAUUGUGGUUUUUUGAACUUCCUGUUUUAUUCAUGCAGUUCCAUAAAACUCCAUGAUAAGAUAUUUUUCAUCAGGUAUAUUCCAACUCUGUUGACUCUAUCAAAUGCAACUAAAUCAACAUUAAGUGGUUGAGAUAGCAAAACAAAUUAAACCAGAACUUUUAGUGAAUAUGGAAUACACAAAUUCUCACCUUUCAUCCCGUUUCAAUACACAUUGCUUCUGUAAAUGGUGUGGGGAUCCAGAUUAUUCAUAAAGAAGGUACCAGUUACUGGUGCACCCUCCAAGUCCUUGUCACUAUGAAGCAUUUGUUGACGUGCACAGGCAUCACAAGCAUUAGCCUUAUGAUUUUCUGAGGAGAUUGGCUGGCCGGACAAAUGUCGUUGUACAUCUUGAACCAAUGCUUGAUUUCAUUGAAGAUGAAUAUAUGGAAGGCAAUCUUCUAUAAGAAGCGACUAUAGACUUUAGCGCGGGAAGUUAAGGGAAGGGUCUAUUCAAACAGGCGGCUUAGGUGUAUUUGUUGGGUUUUUUAUUUUUUUUAAAAAAACUAAUAGAAGAAGGGCAUUUUAGUAAUUUCACUUUAAAAGUUAGGAAGUUCAUGCUUUUAAGGUGGUAAGUAAAAGUGUCUCUUGAAGAAGUAAAUUUUAUUUUAGUAUAGUUUCAUGUGCUCACAAUACAUAUAAGCUUGAGCAACAAGGCAAAGGCAGGAAUGUGGUCUCAUGACUUUCUUGUCAAAUAUUCUUGCCAAAAAAGAAUAAUACUUAUAGCUCGACCUACGUUACAAAUUUCUGCAUAUUUAUUUGGCUUUAAUUUAAUUGCAAGAAAACAUGCCUGUGGUUCAUAUCUUUUUUUUUUUGGUUUUUUAUCUGGUGUUUUGGUAUUCGCAUUGGAGUCCGACUAAUUCGUAUUUGCGUUGCGUAGGACCCAUUUGAAGAAAGCGCUCCCUACUAAGAUUUUUGCAGUCGCUCACAUCUUAUUGCUUAUAUAUAGCUAUAUAUUGCAAUUAAACCCUCUUUUUUUUUUUUUUUUUUUUUAAGGAUCUAAUAUGUCGAUAUCUUCAAAGUGAACGCCCUAUGUUUUUCAUCCUAGACAAGAAAAACCACUCUGCUCGCUAACUUUUUUGUUUUUCUCGAUAUCAUCAGCUGUAUAACUUUUUGGCAGAUAUUCACCAAUUUUCACAUAAAUUCAAUUACACUUUUACCAAGACUUAGCUUGUUGCAUGUGUAUUUUUUUUUGUAGUAUAAACCCAAUCAAAAUCUCUGCUUCAAAUUAAAGUGACAUUUAUUUACCUUCAUAACAACUCCACCUUUCUUUCUCUGAGAGAAGAAGCUAGCUGCAUGACUUUUUUAUUAUUGAGAACAAUGCGUGUUGCGGCAAUGAUGUUUGGGUCAGUAGCACGAACGACGAGGGCAUUUAUCGUCCAACCAGUUUCCACAUUGACAACAUUGUUGUACUACAGCGAUCGCCUUCCUCGUAACCUCAAUUUGGACCGGUUGGUUCGUAAUGACUUGGUCCAUAAUGGAAACUACUUGUUUCGUUUUCUCAUCCAUUUUUUGAGAUGUUUUUGGUAGUACUUACUAAUUAGUUUUUUUUUUUUUUUUUAAAAUCAUUUUAAUUUCUUUUUCACUUGGUUAGCUGAAGGGGAGGGUCCAGAGUAACGAUAAAAUUAUCUUCGUGUGAUUUAUAAAUAAUUGGAUUCGAGCGAUGAAGACAUGAGCCACUGAUAUAAUGCUUGUAGAAUUAGGGAUGUUUUGUGCACCGAAAUGCCACUCUUUUCUCUUAGUUAACUGAUUUCAAUUCUCUUAACUCUUUUUCUCUGGUAUCUUUUUCUCUACUUUGGUAUAUUUAGUAUUGAUGUAAAAUGUGUGAAAUGAAAAUCCUAUCAUCUCUUGGAAACUCUA